Molecule: long non-coding RNA, 351 nt
Filed under: Salmo salar (Atlantic salmon)
Lineage: Eukaryota; Metazoa; Chordata; Actinopteri; Salmoniformes; Salmonidae
Description: lncRNA (ENSSSAG00000087030.1)
Source: RNAcentral
GGGGAUAGGUAAUAGGGGUUAGAGGUUAAGGGUUAGGGGUUAGGGGUUAGAGCCUGGGUUUAGGGGUUAGAGGUUAGAGGUUAGGGGAUAGGGGUUAGGGGUUAGAGGUUAGGGGUUAUGGGAAUAGGGGUUAGGGGUUAGAGGUUAGGGAAUAGGGGUUAGAGGUUAGGGGUUAGGGGUCAGAGGAUAGCGGUUAGAGUCAGGCAGUAACAGGUGAUAGCAGCAGCAGCUAGAGAGUAGUCAAGGCCCGUGAUGCUGCAAAGCGUUUCAAUGAGACUCCGUCAUCGCCAACCAAUCAGGUCCUCAGCCUGCUGCGUCUGUCUGCGUGGGGGGAGGGGCCAAAGACUGUCC